RNAcentral lists this ribosomal RNA (256 nucleotides) under uncultured archaeon. Its description in RNAcentral is "partial 16S ribosomal RNA". It matches the Rfam family "Bacterial small subunit ribosomal RNA", at positions 521 to 776 of the family's 1533-position model. The record is from RNAcentral.
UAAUACAGAGGUGGCAAGCGUUGUUCGGAAUUACUGGGCGUAAAGGGCGCGUAGGCGGCCAUCUAAGUCAGACGUGAAAUCCCCCGGCUCAACCUGGGAACUGCGUCUGAUACUGGAAGGCUAGAGUUUGGGAGAGGGAUGUAGAAUUCCAGGUGUAGCGGUGAAAUGCGUAGAUAUCUGGAGGAAUACCGGUGGCGAAGGCGGCAUCCUGGACCAAUACUGACGCUGAGGCGCGAAAGCUAGGGGAGCAAACGGG